UCCCAAUGCGGCUCCCUGGAGCCUGACAGCGAGCAGCGCCCCGGCGGGGCCAAGCAGCUCACUCCUGGAGGCAAAGCAGCACAGGCUGGAGUGGCCGUUGGUGACUGGGUGCUGAGCAUCGAUGGCGAGAAUGCAGGGAGCCUCACACACAUCGAAGCUCAGAACAAGAUCCGGGCCUGUGGGGAGCGCCUCAGCCUGGGCCUCAGCAGGGCCCAACCGGUUCAGAGCAAACCCCAGAAGGCCCCCGGCCCCUGCCGCGGACCCCCCGCGGUACACCUUUGCACCCAGCGUCUCCCUCAACAAGACGGCCCGGCCCUUCGGGGCGCCCCCGCCCGCUGACAACGCCCCGCAGCAGAAUGGACAGCCGCUCCGACCGCUGGUCCCAGAUGCCAGCAAGCAGCGGCUGAUGGAGAACACCGAGGACUGGCGGCCACGGCCUGGGACAGGCCAGUCGCGUUCCUUCCGCAUCCUUGCCCACCUCACAGGCACCGAGUUCAUGCAAGACCCGGAUGAGGAGCACCUGAAGAAAUCAAGCCAGGUGCCCAGGACAGAAGCCCCAGACCCAGCCUCAUCUUCACCCCAGGAGCCCUGGCCUGCAGGCCCUACCACCCCCAGCCCCACCAGCCGCCCACCCUGGGCCGUGGACCCUGCAUUUGCGGAGCGCUAUGCCCCGGACAAAACGGCACAGCCAGCCGGCCACGCCCACCCCACUGCAGAACCGCACCUCCAUCGUGCAGGCGGCCGCGGGAGCGGGCCCAGGAGGGGGUGGCAACAACAGCAAGACUCCUGUGUGUCACCAGUGCCACAAGGUCAUCCGGGGCCGCUACCUGGUGGCGCUGGGUCAGGCAUACCACCCCGAGGAGUUUGUGUGUAGCCAGUGUGGGAAGGUCCUGGAAGAGGGGGGCUUCUUCGAGGAGAAGGGCUCCAUCUUCUGCCCACCGUGCUAUGACGUGCGCUACGCACCCAGCUGCGCCAAGUGCAAGAAGAAGAUUACAGGCGAGAUCAUGCAUGCCCUGAAGAUGACCUGGUAUGUCCACUGCUUCACCUGCGCCGCCUGCAAGACGCCCAUCCGGAACAGGGCCUUCUACAUGGAGGAGGGCCCUACUGCGAGCGAGACUAUGAGAAGAUGUUUGGCACGAAAUGUCGUGGCUGUGACUUCAAGAUCGACGCCGGGGACCGCUUCCUGGAGGCGCUGGGCUUCAGCUGGCAUGACACGUGCUUUGUCUGUGCGAUAUGUCAGAUUAACCUUGAAGGAAAGACCUUCUACUCCAAGAAGGACAAGCCCCUCUGCAAGAGCCACGCCUUCUCCCAUGUAUGAGCCCCUUCUGCCCAUGGCUGCCAUGGCUGCCCCUAGCCUGAGGGGCCUGGAGUCAUGGCCUGGCAUUUCUGGGUAGGGCCAGCAACGGUUGCCUUAACCCUGGCUCCUGGCCCGAGCCUGGGGUUCCUUGGGCCCUGCCUCACCCCCCUUAUCCUUGCAUCCCACUCCCUUCACCACCACAGCACACUGGUGCUGGCAACACUGGCCCCCUUUCACCUCCAGUGCCACAAUAAACCUGUGCUCAGCUGUGAAAAAAAAAAAAAAAAAAAUUU
This is a non-coding RNA of Callithrix jacchus (white-tufted-ear marmoset), 1590 nucleotides long. Lineage: Eukaryota; Metazoa; Chordata; Mammalia; Primates; Cebidae. The record is from RefSeq and is a predicted model, not a curated record.